This 4274-nucleotide long non-coding RNA is filed under the name Triticum aestivum (bread wheat). RNAcentral's name for it is "long non-coding RNA (TAES_LNC007651)". The record is from RNAcentral. Lineage: Eukaryota; Viridiplantae; Streptophyta; Magnoliopsida; Poales; Poaceae.
UCCCAAACUCUGAAAAACAACUCUGACUUCGCCAAAGGCGAUCAUCAAACCAACCCACCCUGAAUAGGCCGUGCGGAAUCACAUGAAGAUCCACAUCGGACCUCAGCCACUACAACAAGAAAGCACAGCUCUAACACCAACAGAGAGCUACGAAUGAACCAAGCAGCUGUGAAGUCGAAGCUACAGUGGCAGGGCCCGGUGGCAUAUGCUGACGAGUAGGUGGUCCGUUCGGUGAUCUUCCUCAACACGUAGUAUGACUUCAGUGCACACGACACAGUAUAUGCCCCCCUGGAGACCGACAACAGAACAACAGUUCCACAAGCAUGAGCACACUUGAAUUCAGGUGAGAGUGUGACUACUCCCAUUCCUGUCACGUAGAAAGAAGAAAACUCCCGUUUCGUACAGAAAUUCCAUGAGAAGCAAAAUGGCGCCACGUCGUAUUAUUUGUAUUCUUCGUUCUACGAAUCAGCAAAACCAGAUCACGACUCGGACACGAUUCACAUGGAGCACCUAUCUCACGCUUUUUCGACGCGGUAGCCAGGCUGCCUCUCUUCCUCAUCACUUAUUUAAGACGCCCAUCUGGGUUAAAAAGUCGUGACCGAACAAUGACCGGCGGUAUGUAAGGCCUUCCACAGCGUAGCCGGUGCCAAAUACAUCAAAAGGCAGCCACCUCAUCACCGGUGCCCAAAAUUGCUUUUCAGGCAUCGAUCUCACAACGUAGGGCUUCGGCAGGAAAAAGAUUUUGGGACCCAUAUGAUAAACAAGUACACCACGCUGCUGUGUAUUGAGCAAAGAGAGAGAAGACAUUUGCUGUUCAAAGUUGAGAGUUAAUAGUAUUUUAUUGGCUGGAGGAAUUGGGCAUCGUGUUCUUACUUGCUCCGAUGCCAUGAAAAUUUUGUUGGGGCACCGGCCUCACAACGUGAGGGCACCGGCUAUCGGUGCCAGAAGUUAAUUUGGCACCUCUUUUGGCCUACAUAAUGGAAGGUCUAAGAGGUGGGUUUGAGAGAUCGGUAGUAGAUGCUCUUAAUAAGCUAGUACUAGAAGAAGAACAUGUAUAGGGGAGGAAGGGGACAUAAGUGAAUCCCGAACGGAAGCACGUACCUGCGGGUGAUGGCCGAGUCGAGAAGCACGGUCGACGUUCGUGAUCGAGUUGGCGCCGUGCCGGAGCUAAUUCAAGGGAAUGCCGCCGCCUUCCAACCGGAGACGAGACUGUAUUAUGUGGCUGACAACCUGCGCAGCUUUCAAACAUGGUGGCUCCUUUUGGAAAAGGCUCGGAGUGGAGACCCCAACCGUGUCACUCGUGUCAUACAUAUGCACCUUACAAAGGGCUGCGAGCUUUACUACACAGAUGUGUUGGGUGUACAUUUGGUUUUAACAAAUUUGAGACCUUAUCUUUUUUUUUGUUGGGUUUGCUGCUUUUAUGUCAUUUUAAAUACAUAUGUGUAUGCUGUCAAUACACUAUAGAUUAACAUACACUAGUGUCAAAAACGCUUUUAUAUUAUAAAACGGAGGGAGUAGUCUGAUUUUCUCAACACGUAAAUUUUUUUUUAAAUGGAGGCAAAAGAUUUGGCUCAUUCAUUAAUUAAGCAGAAAAGAACUGCCCAGUUAAUUAAUGAAAAACCAGGCGAAAAUCAUCACAAACUACUGAGUGACACCAAUGAAAGACCUACACGCGCCACUCACAAGAGGGCCUCGUCAAGACUGCACGUCGACAUCAUCGCCAUCACUUCUCCCCUAGAGGCAUCAUUGCCAUCCCAAACUAUGAGAAACGACUCCAACUUCACCUCAAGAGGGCCUCGUCAAGACCGCACCUCGAGCGUCAUCACCAUCACUUCUCCCCUAGAGGUGUCAUCGCCAUCCCAAACUCUGAAAAACAACUCUGACUUCGCCAAAGGCGAUCAUCAAACCAACCCACCCUGAAUAGGCCGUGCGGAAUCACAUGAAGAUCCACAUCGGACCUCAGCCACAACAACAAGAAAGCACAGCUCUAACACCAACAGAGAGCUACGAAUAAACCAAGCAGCUGUGAAGUCGAAGCUACAGUGGCAGGGCCUGGUGGCAUAUGCUGACGAGUAGGUGGUCCGUUCGGUGAUCUUCCUCAACACGUAGUAUGACUUCAGUGCACAUGACACAGUAUAUGCCCCCCUGGAGACCGACAACUGAACAACAGUUCCACAAGCAUGAGCACACUUGAAUUCAGGUGAGAGUGUGACCACUCCCAUUCCUGUCACGUAGAAAGAAGAAAACUCCCGUUUCGUACAGAAAUUCCAUGAGAAGCAAACUGGCGCCACGUCGUAUUAUUUGUAUUCUUCGUUCUACGAAUCAACAAAACCAGAUCACGACUCGGACACGAUUCACAUGGAGCACCUAUCUCACGCUUUUUCGACGUGGUAGCCAGGUUGCCUCUCUUCCUCAUCACUUAUUUAAGACGCCCGUCUGGGUUAAAAAAUCGUGACCGAACAAUGACCGGCGGUAUGUAAGGCCUUCCACAGCGUAGCCGGUGCCAAAUACAUCAAAAGGCAGCCACCUCAUCACCGGUGCCCAAAAUUGCUUUUCAGGCAUCGAUCUCACAACGUAGGGCUUCGGCAGGAAAAAGAUUUUGGGACCCAUAUGAUAAACAAGUACACCACGCUGCUGUGUAUUGAGCAAAGAGAGAAGACAUUUGCUGUUCAAAGUUGAGAGUUAAUAGUAUUUUAUUGGCUGGAGGAAUUGGGCAUCGUGUUCUUACUUGCUCCGAUGCCAUGAAAAUUUUGUUGGGGCACCGGCCUCACAACAUGAGGGCACCGGCUAUCGGAGCCAGAAGUUAAUUUGGCACCUCUUUUGGCCUACAUAAUGGAAGGUCUAAGAGGUGGGUUUGAGAGAUCGGUUGUAGAUGCUCUUAAUAAGCUAGUACUAGAAGAAGAACAUGUAUAGGGGAGGAAGGGGACAUAAGUGAAUCCCGAACGGAAGCACGUACCUGCGGGUGAUGGCCGAGUCGAGAAACACGGUCGACGUUCGUGAUCGAGUUGGCGCCGUGCCGGAGCUAAUUCAAGGGAAUGCCGCCGCCUUCCAACCGGAGACGAGACUGUAUUAUGUGGCUGACAACCUGCGUAGCUUUCAAACAUGGUGGCUCCUUUUGGAAAAGGCUCGGAGUGGAGACCCCAACCGUGUCACUCGUGUCAUACAUAUGCACCUUACAAAGGGCUGCAAGCUUUACUACACAGAUGUGUUGGGUGUACAUUUGGUUUUAACAAAUUUGAGACCUUAUCUUUUUUUGUUGGGUUUGCAGCUUUUAUGUCAUUUUAAAUACAUAUGUGUAUGCUGUCAAUACACUAUAGAUUAACAUACACUAGUGUCAAAAACGCUUUUAUAUUAUAAAACGGAGGGAGUAGUCUGAUUUUCUCAACACGUAAUUUUUUUUAAACGGAGGCAAAAGAUUUGGCUCAUUCAUUAAUUAAGCAGAAAAGAACUGCCCAGUUAAUUAAUGAAAAACCAGGCGAAAAUCAUCACAAACUACUGAGUGACACCAAUGAAAGACCUACACGCGCCACUCACAAGAGGGCCUCGUCAAGACUGCACGUCGACAUCAUCGCCAUCACUUCUCCCCUAGAGGCAUCAUUGCCAUCUCAAACUAUGAGAAACGACUCCAACUUCACCUCAAGAGGGCCUCGUCAAGACCGCACCUCGAGCGUCAUCACCAUCACUUCUCCCCUAGAGGUGUCAUCGCCAUCCCAAACUCUGAAAAACAACUCUGACUUCGCCAAAGGCGAUCAUCAAACCAACCCACCCUGAAUAGGCCGUGCGGAAUCACAUGAAGAUCCACAUCGGACCUCAGCCACUACAACAAGAAAGCACAGCUCUAACACCAACAGAGAGCUACGAAUGAACCAAGCAGCUGUGAAGUCGAAGCUACAGUGGCAGGGCCCGGUGGCAUAUGCUGACGAGUAGGUGGUCCGUUCGGUGAUCUUCCUCAACACGUAGUAUGACUUCAGUGCACACGACACAGUAUAUGCCCCCAUGGAGACCGACAACAGAACAACAGUUCCACAAGCAUGAGCACACUUGAAUUCAGGUGAGAGUGUGACCACUCCCAUUCCUGUCACGUAGAAAGAAGAAAACUCCCGUUUCGUACAGAAAUUCCAUGAGAAGCAAAAUGGCGUCACGUCGUAUUAUUUGUAUUCUUCGUUCUACGAAUCAGCAAAACCAGAUCACGACUCGGACACGAUUCACAUGGAGCACCUAUCUCACGCUUUUUCGACGCUGUAGCCAGGCUGCCUCUCUUCCUCAUCACUUAU